AUUGAACGCUGGCGGCAGGCCUAACACAUGCAAGUCGAGCGAGCGGCGGACGGGUGAGUAAUGUAUGGGGACUGCCCGAUAGAGGGGGAUAACUACUGGAAACGGUGGCUAAUACCGCAUACUAUCGGAUAAUCCAUAUGGGAUUAGCUAGUAGGUGGGGUAAAGGCUCACCUAGGCGACGAUCUCUAUCUGGUCUGAGAGGAUGAUGAGCCACACGGGGACUGAGACACGGACGAGACUCCUACGGAGACAGCAGUGGGGAAUAUUGCACAAUGGGCGAAAGCCAGAGGCAACCAUGCCGCGGUUAUGAAGAAGGCCUUAGGGUUGUAAAAUACUUUCAGCGGGAAUGCGUUACCCGCAGAAGAAGCACCGGCUAACUCCGUGCCAGCAGCCGCGGUAAUAC
This 403-nucleotide ribosomal RNA is filed under the name uncultured bacterium. Its description in RNAcentral is "partial 16S ribosomal RNA". It matches the Rfam family "Bacterial small subunit ribosomal RNA", at positions 30 to 526 of the family's 1533-position model. The record is from RNAcentral.